This 464-nucleotide long non-coding RNA is filed under the name Ricinus communis (castor bean). Its description in RNAcentral is "long non-coding RNA (RCOM_LNC001812)". The record is from RNAcentral. Lineage: Eukaryota; Viridiplantae; Streptophyta; Magnoliopsida; Malpighiales; Euphorbiaceae.
GAGCAACCAAGAACAAAGAAAAUAAUUUAUUCCAUACAUCAAAGUGAUAGUACCAUCGAUUCUUAAGCCACAACGAAACAAAAUUGAGAUGAAAGCGAUAAAACACAUCCACCAAACGACAAUAGAAACAAUGGAAAAAACCUAACCAUGCCACUUUAUAAUAUCUAACACUCAAUAGACGGCAUCAUAAACGAUGGAAAAGACCCGGCUACACCACCUUACAAUGCCUAUCGAUGGUGGAGAGGGGCAACGAUGUUAAUCCAAUUAUGAGUGAACGACUAAAAAAGUCUCAUCCUUAAGAAGCACCGACAACUCACCCUCGCCAUUGCUCGCAUCCAUCCAUAGACGAACUUUCAAAGAAAUACAACGGACAAGAGCAGCGGAUAACACUGCACCAAACAACAAAUCUCGGAAAAAGACUAGCAGAAAACUAGAACAAGAAAAUCAACAAAAGGCACUAAACA